AAUUUUGGACAAUGGGGGAAACCCUGAUCCAGCCAUCCCGCGUGUAUGAUGAAGGCCNNNGGGUUNUNAAGUACUUUUGGCAGNGANNAAAAGGCAUCAACUAAUACGUGAUGCUGCAGACGGUAUAAUCACAAUAAGCACCGGCCACAUACGUUCUAGCGGCCGCGGUAAUACGUAGGGUGCAAGCGUUAAUCGGAAUUACUGGGCGUAAAGCGUGUGUAGGCGGUUCGGAAAAAAAGAUGUAAAAUCCCAAGGCUCAACCUUGGAACUGCAUUUUUAACUGCCGAGCUAGAGUAUGUCAGAGGAGGGUAGAAUUCCACGUGUAGAAGUGAAAUGCGUAGAUAUGUGGAGGAAUACCGAUGGCGAAGGCAGCCCCCUGGGAUAAUACUGACGCUCAGACACGAAAGCGUGGGGAGCAAACAGG
Molecule: ribosomal RNA, 424 nt
Filed under: uncultured bacterium
Lineage: Bacteria
Description: partial 16S ribosomal RNA
Rfam family: Bacterial small subunit ribosomal RNA
Source: RNAcentral